This 433-nucleotide ribosomal RNA is filed under the name uncultured bacterium. RNAcentral describes it as "partial 16S ribosomal RNA". It matches the Rfam family "Bacterial small subunit ribosomal RNA", at positions 29 to 507 of the family's 1533-position model. The record is from RNAcentral.
AACGAACGCUGGCGGCAUGCCUAACACAUGCAAGUCGAACGAAGGCUUCGGCCUUAGUGGCGCACGGGUGCGUAACGCGUGGGAAUCUGCCCUUAGGUUCGGAAUAACAGUUAGAAAUGACUGCUAAUACCGGAUGAUGACGUAAGUCCAAAGAUUUAUCGCCUGAGGAUGAGCCCGCGUAGGAUUAGCUAGUUGGUGGGGUAAAGGCGCACCAAGGCGACGAUCCUUAGCUGGUCUGAGAGGAUGAUCAGCCACACUGGGACUGAGACACGGCCCAGACUCCUACGGGAGGCAGCAGUGGGGAAUAUUGGACAAUGGGCGCAAGCCUGAUCCAGCAAUGCCGCGUGAGUGAUGAAGGCCUUAGGGUUGUAAAGCUCUUUUACCCGUGAUGAUAAUGACAGUAGCGGGAGAAUAAGCCCCGGCUAACUCCGUG